GUCUCUCCUGCAAGGGCUGCCUCCCUCUCCCCUCCUGGGAUCUGGGUCCAGUUUGCUUUGAAGACGUUUCUGUUCGUUUCACGGACGAGGAGUGGGCGUUGCUGGAUCCUGACCAGAGAGCUCUGCAUAAGGACGUCAUGGAGGAGAAUCGUGGGAUCAUGGCCUCUCUUGCUUUAAUUCUGGCCUUGCAACAUCUUCCCAUGGAGUGAAGCAAGUUUCUUAGUUCUGCAGCUGUGAUAAUGUGAAACCAAGAUGGAAUUAUUGCAACUAUUAAUUGGGCUUUAUUGCUGGGUUGCUUCUGACUAACAAGUUUCUUUAGUUGGCUCCAUAGAUUUCUGAUUGGAUUGAGGUCUGGGCUAUUCCCAGGCCAUUCCAGCAGUGGAACUGAUUCUCUUGAAACCACCUUUUGCACACAGCAGCAACAUGACAUGGAGCUU
Podarcis muralis (Common wall lizard) is the source of this 437-nucleotide non-coding RNA. Lineage: Eukaryota; Metazoa; Chordata; Lepidosauria; Squamata; Lacertidae. The record is from RefSeq and is a predicted model, not a curated record.